GACGAACGCUGGCGGUGUGCUUAACACAUGCAAGUCGAACGGUAAGGCCCUUUCGGGGGUACACGAGUGGCGAACGGGUGAGUAACAUGUGAGUAACCUGCCCUCAUCUCUGGGAUAACAGUCGGAAACGGUUGCUAAUACUGGAUAUGAGCUUGCAAGGCAUCUUGUGGGUUGGAAAGAUUUUUUUGGUUGGGGAUGGACUCGCGGCCUAUCAGCUUGUUGGUGAGGUAGUGGCUCACCAAGGCUUCGACGGGUAGCCGGCCUGAGAGGGCGACCGGCCACAUUGGGACUGAGAUACGGCCCAAACUCCUACGGGAGGCAGCAGUGGGGAAUAUUGCACAAUGGACGGAAGUCUGAUGCAGCAACGCCGCGUGCGGGAUGACGGCCUUCGGGUUGUAAACCGCUUUCAAUUGUGACGAAGCUUUUUGUGACGGUAGCAGUAGAAGAAGCACCGGCUAACUACGUG
RNAcentral lists this ribosomal RNA (466 nucleotides) under uncultured bacterium. RNAcentral describes it as "partial 16S ribosomal RNA". It matches the Rfam family "Bacterial small subunit ribosomal RNA", at positions 28 to 507 of the family's 1533-position model. The record is from RNAcentral.